GAAUGGUGAGUAGUAUACGAUA
Molecule: non-coding RNA, 22 nt
Filed under: Arabidopsis thaliana (thale cress)
Lineage: Eukaryota; Viridiplantae; Streptophyta; Magnoliopsida; Brassicales; Brassicaceae
Source: RNAcentral